Long non-coding RNA from Oncorhynchus keta (chum salmon), 470 nucleotides. RefSeq lists it as uncharacterized. NCBI's taxonomy places the organism in Eukaryota, Metazoa, Chordata, Actinopteri, Salmoniformes, Salmonidae. The record is from RefSeq and is a predicted model, not a curated record. The transcript has 5 exons.
AAAUGGUGGACUGAAUUAGCCUUCAUCAUCAGGGAGGUCAGGAGGGCUGAGGAGGAACAAAAUGGUGGACUGAAUUAGCCUUCAUCAUGAGGGAGGUCAGGAGGGCUGAGGGGGAACAAAAUGGUGGACUGAAUUAGCCUUCAUCAUGAGGGGAGGUCAGGAGGGCUGAGGGGGAACAAAAUGGUGGACUGAAUUAGCCUUCAUCAUCAGGGAGGUCAGGAGGGCUGAGGAGGAACAAAAUGGUGGACUGAAUUAGCCUUCAUCAUCAGGGAGGUCAGGAGGGCUGAGGGGGAACAAAAUGGUGGACUGAAUUAGCCUUCAUCAUCAGGGAGGUCAGGAGGGCUGAGGGGGAACAAAAUGGUGGACUGAUUUAGCCUUCAUCAUCAGGGAGGUCAGGAGGGCUGAGGGGGAACAAAAUGGUGGACUGAAUUAGCCUUCAUCAGUUGUUAUAAAGACUGUCACUACAAGCU